GGCCCCAGAGGUAGCGCGGGUCUGUGCCAUCGCCCUCAGCCGUCCCGGCUUUCCCGCAGGACGAAGCGCUGUGCGCAUUAGCGCCCAGGUGCGGGCUGCCCAGCGGCGGCUCAGGCUCCAUUUCGGUGUUAAAGGGAGCGCUGCGGCCGGGCCGCCCCGCUACCGCCGCGGCUCGCGCUCCUUCCCCGGCCGCCUGCAAACGGGCUCCAAAAUGGCGGCGGACGCCAGGGCCGGUGAGCAGGCAGUAGAAAAACAGCUGAAGAUCUGCGGCAUCAAGAGGACCAUAGAUGUCUCAAUAUUAUAUCUGGCUGGACAAGGACUAAGAAGUAUCCCAAGUCUUUCACAGUUUCAUAGGUUAAGGUGUUUGUGGAUUAACAACAAUAAGAUCCAAGAUUUAACUUUCUUGAUCAAAAACCACUGCUUGACUGAACUCUAUCUCAACCAUAACGAACUGACAGAUAUAUCAGGUGCUCUGAAACAUUUAUGUGCGUUACAGAUUGUGUUUCUUCACAACAACCAGUUACAAAAACUUGUCGAAACAGUGAAGGAACUGAAAGGAAAGAUAAGCUUGCAUACCCUAAACCUAUUCCAUAACCCUCUGGCACAAGAUGCAGACUACCGGCUGUAUGUGAUACAUGCCCUCCCUUCAGUGCAGCUCCUUGACAGGAAGGCAGUUACACAAAGAGAAAGGGAGUCAGCGCUUUAUCUUUAUAAGCGUGAAAGGUCUUGUGUGGUGCAGCCAAUAGCUUUUGGAAAGAGAGUGAGUAUGGUCCUGGGGCCUCCGCUGGGAUCCCGCAGAGCCAGCGCUCAACCAGACAGGAGGAGCCUGACAGUGCCCUCAGGUAUUUAUAAUAAUGUUGGAAAUCUGGAAAUCACACCAAAAAAGUACCGUUUGAGAACCCCGAAGAUGCUGUUUUAGUGCGGGCAAUGACGAGAUCUGUGAUGGAAUUUUCCUGUGUUGACUGGAACAAAGUAGCCACCUGUCAAGAAAGACGGCUUGAAAACAAAGUGGAAGAACCUCUUAAGAAGAUGACAAUCCAAUUCAAAUGAGGACUUUCUUCCGUAAGAAAAAGAAUCUUCUUCUCUGCAGUGUGAAGCUUCCCUUUUUAAGGACGGGAGGGAGAAGAGCCAUCCACUAAGAUCUGUCUCUGCCUCAGCACCCAGCCACUGACUCGUUCAGCUAACGUGAACCUGCAAGUGUGUUUGUCACCAGUGUGAGCUACCACACUGCUCACAGCUCUUCAUGUUUUGCUGUGUGCGAUUUCUGGUAUCCUUGUCCCCAACUUCCACAGUCAUCCUGAUGUCAUCCAGCA
RNA transcript from Columba livia (rock pigeon), 1313 nucleotides. It is a transcript of the gene named leucine rich repeat containing 72, with no coding region annotated. NCBI's taxonomy places the organism in Eukaryota, Metazoa, Chordata, Aves, Columbiformes, Columbidae. The transcript is spliced from 10 exons. The record is from RefSeq and is a predicted model, not a curated record.